GAUGAACGCUGGCGGCGUGCUUAACACAUGCAAGUCGAACGGAAAGGCUCCUGCUUUCCGGGGUACUCGAGUGGCGAACGGGUGAGUAACACGUGGGUGACCUGCCCUUCACUUCGGGAUAAGCCUGGGAAACUGGGUCUAAUACCGGAUAGGACCUCAUUCUGCAUGGUGUGGUGGAGAGAUUGGCGGUGUGGGUUGAGCUCGCGGCCUAUUAGCUGGUUGGUGGGGUAGUGGCUGACUAAGGCGUCGACGGGUAGCCGGCCUGAGAGGGUGUACGGCCACAUUGGGACUGAGAUACGGACCAGACUCCUACGGGAGGCAGCAGUGGGGAAUAUUGCACAAUGGGCGCAAGCCUGAUGCAGCGACGCCGCGUGCGGGAUGACGGCCUUCGGGUUGUAAACUGCUUUCGCUGGGGACGAAGCGCGAGUGACGGUACCGGGUGAAGAAGCACCGGCUAACUACGUG
This 465-nucleotide ribosomal RNA is filed under the name uncultured bacterium. RNAcentral's name for it is "partial 16S ribosomal RNA". It matches the Rfam family "Bacterial small subunit ribosomal RNA", at positions 28 to 507 of the family's 1533-position model. The record is from RNAcentral.